AUGUGGUGGCCUUACCACCACAUGAUUAGCACAACAACAAGCACAUAUGAGAUCAAACAAAGCAAGCAACCAAAUGAAAUCAAACAAAGCAAGCAUCUUGGUGCAUUUGCUUUUGGGCAAAUGUCUCUGAUCAGUGCCAUUUUGCAAAGAGUUUGUGCACUAAUACUUGUCAUCUUAUCUAACAAAAUAUUGAAGACUGACUGGAAUGUGGUCGGUGGAGGAGCUCAGGUGGUGGCCGGAGCUGAGGGCGCCGAGGAUUUCAUCCCCAUGAACAGGUGGCUCAGGAUGGUGGACCUGCCUGGCAGGAUCGCCUUCAUGAGCCUGCCUCGUUCAAGGGGACGAUCUCCGAGGCAGGGCCACGAGGAGGGGGCCCGGGAGCCGCUGCGCUUCUACCAGCAGAUCAAAGACAACGAGGACCUCACCAUGCUCGUCGUCCCUCACAAGUUCGUGGAGGUGAUGAACACCUAG
This 468-nucleotide ribosomal RNA is filed under the name Triticum aestivum (bread wheat). RNAcentral describes it as "partial small subunit ribosomal RNA". Lineage: Eukaryota; Viridiplantae; Streptophyta; Magnoliopsida; Poales; Poaceae. The record is from RNAcentral.